UGGAGGCUAUGCAGCGUCCAAAAAGUGGAAGAAACCAAAUGCCUAUUCAAAAUCAUCCCGAUUUGGGCUUCCGGGAUUAUCUGUUUUACCGCCAUUGUACAACAGAGCACAUUCAUCUUGUCUCAAGCCUUGACAAUGGACCGCCACCUGGGUCCCAACUUUCAGAUCCCGGGCGGGUCGCUCGGGGUCAUCUCGAUGAUCACGGUGGCGCUAUGGAUCCCCGUGUACGACCGGGUGGUGGUGCCGUCCGUGAGGAAGGUCACCAAGGUGGAAGGUGGCAUCACCUUGCUCCAGAGGAUGGGGAUCGGGCUGGUGUUCUCCAUCCUCUCGAUGGUAGUGUCCGGCCUGGUCGAGCGGAUGAGAAGGGCCUCUGCCCUAGCUCACGCUGGACCAGGCGGGACCACUACCCUAACGGUCUUCUGGCUGGCCCCGCAGCUGAUGCUGAUGGGGUUCGCCGAGGCAUUCAAUAUCAUUGGACAGAUUGAGUUUUAUAAUAAAGAAUUCCCGGAAAAUAUGACUAGUUUGGCAAACUCGUUGUUCUCGUGCACAAUGGCGGGGGCGAGCUAUAUAAGUGCGGCGUUGGUGAACAUCGUGCACCACACAACUGCCACGCGCGCCCAUCCCGAUUGGUUGACCAAAGAUAUUAACCAGGGAAGGCUCGAGAACUUGUAUUUCUUGAUCGCCGGCUUGGGCGUCUUGAAUUUCGGAUACUUUAUUUGGGCGGCGCGUGGGUAUCAGUACAAGACCAAGAUCAGAAUUGAUGAUGAGCAUGUUGAGCUUGUUGACGGCUUUGUCUAUCCUAGGCGGGGUGCUCCCUACGCAGGGCCCUUAAGAUGAUGACACUUGGGCACCCCUUUUUACCCAAAAUCCUGAAAUAUCAAAUUGACCCCUCAUAAUAAAUUAUAAACACAAAAAACCCCAAACAAGUUUAAAUCUGGACAGAAUAAUCCUUUUUCAUUUCCAUAAUUGUAAAAUCAUGCAAUUAUCACAAUAUGGCCCAACAUGCUUCCGUAACACUUCAAAAUAAAUCUUAAAUUUAAACCAACAUUAUACCUUUGUCGACUGGUCUUCUUCAGGAGUCAGUCCGUUGCGUUUUACGGCUUCGUCUGCCCACCAGGCACGUUCCAACCACGCACUCGCAAGAGAUGGAUGCAACCUUUCUCCUUCACUAAGUGUCGACUCAAUACUUUGUUGGAAAAAUAAAGAAAAUAUUUUUACUCAACCGGAAUAGUUGGAUGAAUACUAAGCUUAUAUAGAGGAAUUAUAUAAUAAUUAAUUUAUUUCAUAAAAUCUUCCUCAGGGAGGAGACUAACUUGUUUAGCUACUCAUUAGUAGCUAAUACUUGUGUACAUAAAAUUAAAAGAAACAAAACUAGAAUAAAAAAGAAAUUAAAAUUACAAAAUAAUUUUUCUAGAGAGAGAAUUUGGUGUGUGAAGGAGUUGUGAAGUUUUCGAUGAUCUCUCUCUUCCAGAGCUUGGGUUUAUAUAGAGGUUUGAUCCCCUCUAUAAUUGCUUGGUAGUUGGCCUCGGAUUCUUUCUUUGUGGCCAGCUCACUUGAAUGUGACAUCCACCUUAUUUUGUCGGCCUUGAUUGCCGACAUUUGUUAGUGUCAUCACAUGGUGCUGGACCCUUACUUUAUCGUUUUGUGAUAAUGCUGGUAGGGGGCGGCUGCUUUUUUCUUCCACUCACGUUUGUCCUGGAGCUUUUGGUGAGUGGUCCUCCUGUCAUUCCACCCAUUCUUCAUUUUCUUUGUGGGUGCGAUCCUUGCUGUGAAUCACAUGAUUCACUUUGUUUUGUCGGCCAACUUACUUUUUUGGUGCCCGAGGUGCUCUUCCUNCAUAAAAAGUUAUUAUAAUGAGCGAGAGUAGAUCACUCAGCAAAAUUGAGUCACAAAUAUAUAGGGAAGUAUAGGUAGCAUCUGGAAAAGCAUAAUGAUUUCAAAAUUCCCAAAUCUUAAGCUUUGUUGGAUUCAUAUUCAUCAUAUAUAUGUUGCAAGCAUUGCACCAAAUCUUUAGAUUAUUGUGAAUAUUCUUUGCAACUCUAAAAGAUCAUCAUGGGCAUAAUAUGCAAUGACUACUUUAAUGUAAAAAAGAAGUGAAACCUACAUUACUAAAUACAGAAGCACAAAUAAGUUCAUAUACUAAUCAAUGAAUUUGACAUUACAAAUCUUAAACUGCAGACACAACAAUCCAAUUUUCAGUUCGCAUAGAGAAGAAGAAUUUCAGUUAUGAAUCGGACAUACAAAUAAUCGCCUACAACAGAGGAUGGAGCUAGGGAUGAUCGUGGACGGAUCUUCAGAAUGCAGCGAGAGACGUCGGUGAGGAAGAUGUUGCGCGGCCCAGACCUAUUUCUUUCGAAAAUGGGCCAGGUUCCAAUCUUUUGUAGCCAUACUAGCCAAGAUUUAUUCAAAAGAAGAUUACACUUUAAGAGGAAUAAUGAGGUUGCAAUCAUUCAACAAUAUGUAUCAGUAAAGUUCAGCAUUAUGAUUGCAUCACCAUAUCUAUUUUCCUUUUCCCUUUAUCAUAUGCUUAAAUAACAAUUCAACAACUUCUCAUCUAAGAAUGUCUAUAAUUCACGCAAUGACCACUAUUUUUCGGACUUGCAAAAAUAGGUCAAUUAUUUUAGUUUUUGACAUUUUUAGGCCACAUUUGAGCUCAAUUCAGCAUUUAUAGGCCAUUUUUUGGGGUUGGGGUGGAUGGAUCCAACUCCAACCCGUGGAGGCUAUGCAGCGUCCAAAAAGUGGAAGAAACCAAAUGCCUAUUCAAAAUCAUCCCGAUUUGGGCUUCCGGGAUUAUCUGUUUUACCGCCAUUGUACAACAGAGCACAUUCAUCUUGUCUCAAGCCUUGACAAUAGACCGCCACCUCGAUCCCAACUUUCAGAUCCCGAGCGGGUCGCUCGGGGUCAUCUCGAUGAUCACGGUGGCGCUAUGGAUCCCCGUG
This 2939-nucleotide long non-coding RNA is filed under the name Salvia miltiorrhiza (redroot sage). Its description in RNAcentral is "long non-coding RNA (SMIL_LNC006350)". Lineage: Eukaryota; Viridiplantae; Streptophyta; Magnoliopsida; Lamiales; Lamiaceae. The record is from RNAcentral.